CAGCAACCUGAUGAAAAAAGCCAACAGUUAAUGCUACUCACCAUGUACUCGAGCAGGACAUUUCAGCAGCGCUCGUGAGCAGGAAAGUCAUCGUCAAAAGGAUCACAGAAAAGCAAACGUUCUGCUAGCACCAUAAGUCUUUGACACACUGAAAGAAUUGCCCGCUGACCAAUAUAAGGCUCGCUCCCAAGUUUGCGGAUCAAAUGCUGAACACAAAAUUGAGCAUUGGUGCCGGUGUAUUGAGACCCUAGAAGAUACGUAUUUAAAAGGAACGGCAAAAAAAAAAAGAGACAGAAGUCAACGAUUAGAAUGAUCCACAAAUAAAAGAUCACAAUGGCGACAAUUUUACAGUAGUUUACCGUCUUACACAUUGACCUUAAAAAGUAAUCUACGAUUAUUCGCACAAUCUUAAACUAUGCAUACCAUUUUCCAACAAGGACGUGCACAUCUGCCUAAUCAAACGUGUAACUAGGCUGUUGACAAUUCCUUCAACAAGUUCGUGGUUCCUUCCCGUAGAUAAAA
This is a non-coding RNA of Vigna umbellata (rice bean), 522 nucleotides long. Lineage: Eukaryota; Viridiplantae; Streptophyta; Magnoliopsida; Fabales; Fabaceae. The record is from RefSeq and is a predicted model, not a curated record.